GGCAACUCCAGGUUCAGUGGCGGACGGGUGCGUAACACGUGAGCAACCUGCCCCGCGAUGGGGGAUAGCCGGCCUAACGGCCGGGUAAUACCGCGUACGCCGCCGGAGCCGCAUGGCUCUGGUGGGAUAGCGGCCGCAAGGUCGCGUCGUGGGAGGGGCUCGCGGCCUAUCAGCUUGUUGGUGGGGUAACGGCUCACCAAGGCGACGACGGGUAGCUGGUCUGAGAGGAUGGCCAGCCACAUUGGGACUGAGAUACGGCCCAGACUCCUACGGGAGGCAGCAGUGGGGAAUCUUGCGCAAUGGCCGCAAGGCUGACGCAGCGACGCCGCGUGUGGGAUGACAGCCUUCGGGUUGUAAACCACUGUCGGGGGGGACGAAUACCCGGCUUCGAACAGGAGCCCGGGGGUGACGGUACCUCCAAAGGAAGCACCGGCUAACUCCGUGCCAGCAGCCGCGGUAAUACGGAGGGUGCGAGCGUUGUCCGGAAUCACUGGGCGUAAAGGGCGCGUAGGCGGCCCGCUAAGUCACUUGUGAAAUCCUGGGGCUCAACUCCAGGGCUGCAGGUGAGACUGGCAGGCUAGAGCUCGGUAGAGGCGAGUGGAAUUCCCGGUGUAGCGGUGGAAUGCGUAGAUAUCGGGAAGAACACCUGUGGCGAAGGCGGCUCGCUGGGCCGGUGCUGACGCUGAGGCGCGAAAGCGUGGGGAGCAAACAGGAUUAGAUACCCUGGUAGUCCACGCCGUAAACGAUGGGUACUAGGCGUCGGGGGGAGCGACCCCUUCGGUGCCGUCGCUAACGCAGUAAGUGCCCCGCCUGGGGAGUACGGCCGCAAGGCUGAAACUCAAAGGAAUUGACGGGGGCCCGCACAAGCGGUGGAGCAUGUGGUUCAAUUCGAUGCAACGCGAAGAACCUUACCUGGGCUUGACAUGCUGGUGAAAGCCGGUGGAAACAUCGGCCCCUCUUCGGAGCGCCAGCACAGGUGCUGCAUGGCUGUCGUCAGCUCGUGUCGUGG
Molecule: ribosomal RNA, 1009 nt
Filed under: uncultured bacterium
Lineage: Bacteria
Description: bacterial SSU rRNA
Rfam family: Bacterial small subunit ribosomal RNA
Source: RNAcentral